CUUCUAAAAAUACUCCUUUUAUCCCAGUCACGAAACAUCCAACCAAAAUUUAUGCUUCCCAGAUUCCCUUGCAGCAAGUACGGACCUGUAGCUAGGUUCUGACAAAUAGAGUGUAAACUGAAC
This is a long non-coding RNA of Herpailurus yagouaroundi (jaguarundi), 123 nucleotides long. RefSeq lists it as uncharacterized. The transcript has 3 exons. Lineage: Eukaryota; Metazoa; Chordata; Mammalia; Carnivora; Felidae. The record is from RefSeq and is a predicted model, not a curated record.